CAAAAUGAUAUGAUGGCAAGUGUCGUCACUAGAAAAAUCCUAUUUAAAAAAAUAAUAAUUAAAAGACGAAAAAAAAUGAAAUAAAAAACAAAAAGAGAAAAAAAAUACAAAUUCACAAAAAACUGUAAAAAACUGCAAAUUCAUAAAACACUACUCAAAACAGAUAACUGCACUACUCAAAAGUGGCGUUAAAAUUAAAGCCCAUAUUAACUGCUCGAAAAAACCGCUUCUCUCACUAAUAAUCUUCACUCUCUCUGGGUCGAAACGGAGAUUUCUCUCCACUGGUUCAAAAUAUCCAAGAAUUUUGUGUUGUGGAGAAAACAAUUUCCAGUGACAAAACAAGGAAAUUAAGAAGAGAUCAAGUGAGAGCAGACUACUACUCCACCAUAUUCUUCUCGUGCGUUUGUUUGAACGGCUAAUUAUAUGAUGAUCUCGUUUCCAGAGACUUUGUUGGUGACAACAGGUCAAGCAUUUUUUAUGCAAAGCUGGAAUUGCUUUGACCAAGAACUUUGUGGAACUUGUGUCAUGGAAUUAUGGCAAAAUGAUAUGAGAACUUCCUUUUUAUUCUCCACGUCAGGGAUGGUGAAAGGAUAUUGGAUGCUAUAUUGCAGAUUUGGUACUCAAAAUUGAUACUACAUCAUAUCAGUCAGGAGUCAGGGCAUCACGUACAGGAGGUCAGUGGAGAAGAAUUAGGUCAACUCAUUGCUAGAAUUGUUGGAAAAAGAAGCAGCGUUUUGUGAUUAUCAUAAGAUCUAAUCUCUGGAUUAAAUGGGUAGUCUAUCUAUUAAAAUUUAUAUUUCCGCAGUAAUUGUUUUCGUGGGUAACUCUAUUGCCUUUUUGCUGAGAGUUCAGAGGUUUUUGCAAGAUUUUGCUCAUAAUACUGAGCAUAUAUCUAUUGUAAAUACACUGACCAUAUAUCUAUUGUAAAUACUCCUGCCAAGAUAGGUAUAUCAGAUACUAGAACAGUAGUUGAUGAUGACCCAAAUGUACAACCAUCCGGAAACAAAAUCAAGAGAAUAUUGAAGAAGGAGAAGAAUA
Long non-coding RNA from Lycium barbarum (goji berry), 1038 nucleotides. RefSeq lists it as uncharacterized. The transcript is spliced from 6 exons. The record is from RefSeq and is a predicted model, not a curated record. NCBI's taxonomy places the organism in Eukaryota, Viridiplantae, Streptophyta, Magnoliopsida, Solanales, Solanaceae.